This is a non-coding RNA of Arachis ipaensis, 517 nucleotides long. The record is from RefSeq and is a predicted model, not a curated record. Lineage: Eukaryota; Viridiplantae; Streptophyta; Magnoliopsida; Fabales; Fabaceae.
UCUGUGAUUCAUGUGAUUUUUGCGAUUUUCUGUAAUUCCUGUGAUUUACCUUGAAGCAUUUGUUAAUUUAAUUUCUGUCAUAUCUAUGAUUUUUUGCAAUUUCUGUGAUUUUUUGCAGAAGUAGCCGGUCCCGAGGCUGAUUGUUGGAACCAAAUAGAGAUGGGCAUGUCUCCCUUGACAAUUUCAAAAUGAGGGAUUUAGAUUAUAAUUGAAGGGCAUACUCUGGAGCAUGAUAGCCAAAUGUUCCCAACACUCUUGUUGAAUGUAGGCGAGCCGCGGUGUCAGAAGACUGGUUUGUCAAGCUGAAAUCUGCAAUCUUGGCGUCAUAGUCAUUGAAGAGUAAUACAUUGCUGGAUCUAACAUCACGGUGAACUAUAGAAGGCUGACACUUUUCAUGAAGAUACUCAAGUCCUUUUGCCGCACCAAACGCGAUUUUCGCUCUCUGAUUCCAGCUUAAAACUGGACCUGGUUCAGCCCCUUGUACACCCUUCCUUCCUAUAACAACAAAAAGAAAUAA